RNAcentral lists this long non-coding RNA (229 nucleotides) under Ananas comosus (pineapple). RNAcentral's name for it is "long non-coding RNA (ACOM_LNC037488)". Lineage: Eukaryota; Viridiplantae; Streptophyta; Magnoliopsida; Poales; Bromeliaceae. The record is from RNAcentral.
UCUACACAUUGAAAUCCAUCAAUCAGCACUAAUUCUGCACUUAAGCUUAAUUUAACCAAAUUGCAAAGCUAACUUUACCUUCUAAACUCCAAAUCCAUUGAGGUAAAGUUCCAAAAGCAGUGUGCUAUGCUUGAAGAUCAAGCUCAGAUCCAAAAUCCAGCUUCUUCAAAUAAUUGAAUCAACAAAACCCCAUAAGUUCACAAUUCUGCCCAAAAACACCAGCAGCAAA